Molecule: long non-coding RNA, 30089 nt
Filed under: Capsicum annuum
Lineage: Eukaryota; Viridiplantae; Streptophyta; Magnoliopsida; Solanales; Solanaceae
Description: long non-coding RNA (CANN_LNC021063)
Source: RNAcentral
AAAGUAGAGAAUCAUAUGUUGUGCUACUAUUAUAUUUUCUACGACAGACGUCCUUUUAAUUUGAAUUGUCAGUUCAGGUGAAAGUAUUUUUCACUCUAAUAGCUAAAUAUCAUUCAACUUCUAUUCUCUUCACUUUAAGUUUAAUUUUUGAUUUUGACGUGACAACUUCAAUGUACUCAAGACUUGGUUUACAUUUCAGUCUUCCUCUUCCUCUUUAACUUUUAAGAAAAAAAUUGGUGUUACUCCUCAAAGUAAAAAAGGAAAAUAAAAAUUCAAGUUUUAGUAGUGCUACAGUAUCAAUGAAUGAGGGAUUUUUCCAAGUUACAUCUAUUUGUUCUUUUGCUGAUGCGAUUUCUUUUGUCGAAACCAUUUUCUUUCCCUUUGUAAGGGAGUCCCUCUUGGAUUCUUCACCUACACUUUUGAAGACGGAAUACUAAAGAGAAGACAAGUUUUGAUUCAUAAUAUUUUCUUGUUGUAAUUCGUAACGGAUCAGUUACUUAGUGAGCUCUAUUCUGUUUGCGAAACAAAUAUGGUUUGAAACUAUGAAUUAAAUGGCUUAUGUAACGAGACAUUCAAAGUUGAGCAUAUGAACUUGAAAAAUAUAGUAAGUUAAUAAAGCUUAAGUUGAUUAAUACAAACUAAAGAAGAACAAAUGUAGAUGCAGACAUCUCUUAAAAUAAAGCUUAUUAGUGAAACACAACAGUAACCAACUGCACUGCACCAACGUCUUCUUAUCCUUGACAUCUGAAAUUUGAAAAAUAAGAUAGUGAGCGUCAAACACUUAUCAAUAAGAAAAAUAUACUUAUCAAGCAUAUGCCAUGAUUAUCCAAGAUGAAAUCCAGCAAGUAGCAGCAGCAACUUAACAGAUGAAGCAACUGAUAAAGUUGAAACCAUGGCUAUUCACACAAGUUCCAUGAGUUCACAGGCAAGAAGAGGUAAAGGAUUUAGAGGAAGGCAGCAGCAGUGUGAUUUUUGUAGAAUGAAAGGCCACACAAAGGAAAACUGCUACAAGCUUGUUGGAUAUCCACCUGGUUUUCAAAAUAGGAAGUUUUCUGGAAGUGGAGGAUUUGGUGUUGGUAAUUCUGAUGGAUGGAGAAGAAAUGCAUGCACUUCUGAUAACUGGAGAAAAGAGCAACCACCCACAGUGAAUAACACUAAUGUAGCAUCUACAUCUAGGAUUAAUGGAGAAGUUUCAUCUUCUCGGUGCAACACCGGAUUUCAGUCAGAAAAACAGUUUUACAACCCCUUUUCUGAUGAACGAUACAAACAGAUCUUUAAGUUUGCUGAACAAGGAUUCAGGAGAGCAUCAUGUCAACAUGGCAGGUAUUGUAACUUUCUUGAUGUCUCAUUUUCUUUCUAAAACUGAAUGGGUCAUUGAUUCUGGAGCCACACAUCAUGUUACUACAAAUCUACAAUUGUUGAAGGAUAGGGUCAAUCUAGAUGCCUCUAAAAGAGAUAAGUGCAUUUACCUACAGGAGAGAAAACUGAAAUUACUCACACAAGAAGUGCCAACUUAUUUGGGAAUGAAAAAAUGAAGGGUGUGUUAUUUGUUCCCGAGUUUAGAUUUAACCUUUUAUCAGUGUCAAAAGUGACUAAAGAGCUGUCUUGCUUUUUCAUCUUUUUCCCUGAUUUCUGUGUGUUUCAGGACCUCUACAAUGGCAGGGUGAAGGGGAUUGGUAAAGAGCAAGGAGGCUUGUAUGUGAUUGAUGGAGAUUCAGUGGAAUCUAUGGUAACAAAUAAGAUGAAAACAACAUGUAUGACUAAUAGUGAUGCCGAUUACAGUUUAUGGCAUAAGAGAUUGGGACAUCCAUCAUCCACAAUAAUGAAGAAGAUUCCAGAGUUAAAUAAGUCUUCUAGCACUACUUUAGAAAAGGAUUGUCAUAUUUUCCCCUUGGCAAAACAAACUAGGCUACAAUUUCCACUUAGCGAAACUAGAGCAGAUUUUCCAUUUCAGCUUGUACAUAUGGAUCUCGGGGGUCCAUAUAAGGUCCCGACUUAUGAUAAGAAAUACUAUUUAUUAACUGUUGUGGAUGAUCAUUCUAGAUUUACUUGGAUUUAGUUGUUGCAAUUAAAGUCUGAGGUGAUUGUUGUGCUUAGACAGUUUUUAGCCAUGAUAAAAAAUCAGUUUGGCAUGAUAAUCUAGGUUUUGAGGUCUGAUAAUGGUGCGGAGUUCGUUAAUUCUAAGUGUAAAGAAUUGUUGUUUUCUCUUGGCAUUGAGAAUCAAAGUAGUUGCCCUUAUACUCCCCAGCAAAAUGGGAUUGUGGAGAGAAAGCACAGGUAGAUUUUAAACAUUGCUAGAGCCUUGAGGUUUCAGGCUAUGAUACCUCUUAGAUACUGGGGAUUAUGUGUCAAGGCUGCAGUUUAUUUGAUGAACAGGUUGCCUUCAGUUACACUAGCUGGACAUACACCAUAUGAACUACUGUUUCAUAAGAAACCUUCCAUCACUCAUUUAAAAGUCUUUGGUAGCCUUUCUUAUGCAACAAAUUUGUUGAAAAAAGACAAGUUUGGACCAAGAUCAAGAUCUGCGGUGCUACUUGGUUUUUCAGAACUGCAGAAAGGUUACAUAUUGGUUGACUUAAUUACUAAAGAUAUAUUUGUCAGCCGAGAUGUGGUUUUCAGGGAAAAUAUAUUCCUUUUUAGUUCACCAGAGUCACUACAGCACUAUCAUCAUAACCUAAGGUUAUGCAUCCAGCUUGUCUUAGUGAUACAGGUAUGGAUUCACUUCACACUUUGUCGUCUUCACCUUUGGAUUAUGCAAGUGACACUGAUAUGGUUCCUGAAGUGCAAGCACCAGCAAAUCCUGCACCUCCAGUUAGUAUUACCACUGAUAUUGCUCCUGAUUCUAAUAUUGAUACUAAAAGAAGAUCAACCAGGACCUCUAAAGAACCCCUUUGGAUGAAAGACUAUGUUGGCAGGCCCAAAGCACAAUGCAAUAAUGUUCUAUAUCCUUUAUCUGACUAUUUGUCUUAUGCUAAUACCUUUAUCUAGCCGAUUUCUCAUCUUUGGUAGAACCUCAAGGCUUUAGUGAGGCCGUAAAGGAUAAGAGAUGGGUUGAUUCCAUGAAGGUUGAGAUCAAAUCACUUGAAGAUAACAAGACUUGGGAAAUUGUAGACCUGCCCACCGGGAAGAAUAUAGUAGGCUCAAAAUGGGUUUACAAGGUUAAAUUUCAAGAAAAUGGAGAAGUGGAGAGAUUCAAGGCUAGAUUGGUAGCCAAAGGUUAUAGUCAGAGGGAAGGUCUAGAUUAUCAUAAGACCUUUUCACCUAUAGCCAAGAUGGUUAUAGUCAGGUCAAUUAUCGCUCUUGCAGCAUCAGAAGGUUGGAAACUCUUUCAAAUGGAUAUGUUUAAUGCCUUUCUUCAAGGUGACUUAUGUGAAGAAGUAUUCAUGGAAAUUCCUGAAGGUUUCAGAAGACAGGGGGAGACUAAAGUGUGUAGGCUAUUAAAAUCUUUAUAUGGACUUAAACAAGCAUCCAGGCAGUGGAAUAUUAAAUUGACCGAAGCACUGAUACAAGCUGUUUUUACUCAAAGCAAUUAUGACUAUUCCUUAUUUACUAAGAAGGAAGGAGAAGAUAUAGUAAUCACCUUAGUUUAUGUAGAUUAUUUACUAAUCACUGGAAGUUGUAACAAGAUGAUAAACUCAGUGAAGAUGCAAUACAUCAACAUUUCAAAGUAAAAGACUUAGGAGAACUGAAAUUUUUCUUGGGAAUUGAAGUGUUGAGAUCCAAGACUGGAAUAUUGUUGAAUCAAAGAAAGUAUGUGUUAGAGCUAAUUUCAGAGUUGGGUCUUGGUGGAGUAAAACCUGCAGCAACACCUUUAGAAACUAAUAUCAGACUCACUAGUGUAGAAUUUGAUGAAGCAACAGGAGAGCAAAGUGAUGACUUAUUGUCAGACAUAGGAGCAUAUCAAAGGUUAAUGGGAAAACUUUUGUAUGUGACCAUAACAAGACUAGAUAUAAGCCCCACUGUACAGACCUUGAGUCAAUUCAUGCAAAGGAAAAAACAAUCUCAUCGGGAUUUAACUAUCAGAGUGGUGAAGUAUUUUAAGUUAGCAUCAGGACAAGGGAUCCUUAUUAGUGCAUCUACUAGUCAAGAACUUACAUGCUGGUGUGAUUCAGAUUGGGCAGCUUGUCCAAAUACUAGAAGGUCUAUGACAGGAUACUUGAUCAAAUUUAGGGACUCACUAGUGUCAUGGAAGUCAUAAAAGCAACAGACAGUCUCAAGAAGUUCUGCAGAGGCAAAGUAUAGGAGCAUGGCAUCAGCAGUGGCUGAAGUUACAUGGUUGCUAGGUUGAUAUCAAGAAAUAGUAAUCAAGGUGAAACAACCAGUGAAGAUUAUGAGUGACAGUAAGUCUGCAAUACAGAUUGCAUCUAAUCCAAUCUUUCAUAAAAGGACUAAACACAUUGAAAUUGAUUGUCAUUUCAUUAGAGACAAAAUCAAGGAUGGACUCAUUGAAGCUAUGUUUGUAAAGACUGAAGAACAAUAGGCAGAUCUAUUAACCAAAGGGUUAAGUAAAGCACAACACUCAUAUUUGAUGAGCAAGCUUGGAGUGUUCAAUAUCUUACAUCCUCCAGCUUGAGGGGGAGUGUUGAGAUUAGGCUUAACAGAUGAUGCUUAGAUAGUUAGUCUAUGUGAUCAAUUACUGGUAGAAUGUACAGCUGGCAAGGAAUGUACAGCUUUCAAGGUAGUUAGUUAUAGUCUACAGCUGGAAGCAGUUAGUGGAGUUAUUGUUUAGUGUGCAUAUAUAAUGCUGUGUAACAGAACCAACCAGAGAACUCAUUCUUCUUUUCAUCUAAUAAAAAAAUAUCUUCUCCAAUAUUUCUCUCUCUAGAUUGAUCUCCGUUGAUGAACUUAUGGAAACAUUCAUGAAGCUCUUAGCCUAGAUUUCUACAUGUAUGACUCCUUGAAGCCCGUUCUCUUGACUGGAGGACUACAGGUUAGCGUUUGUCUGUUUUUGUGCUUUUGCUUUUUAUUGGUUUACGUGGAUUUUGAUAAUAUCAUUGGCUCAACAAUUUCACUUGGCUUAUUUUGAUGUUUACGAGAUAGUUUUUUUGCUAGCUUUGCUCUCGGGUGGCUGAUUACCAACAGUGCCGGUCUUGCCUCAUACCCAAUUGACACAGUCCGAAGAAGAAUGAUGAUGACCUCCGGUGAAACUGUCAAGUGCAAGAGCUCACUUGACGCAUUCUCCCAGAUUCUUAAGAACGAGGGUCCCAAAUCUCUUUUCAAAGGAAAUGGUGCUGACAUCCUUCCUGCCGUUGCUGGUGCUGAUGUGUUGGCUGGAUAUGAUAAACUUCAGAUGAUCGUUUUUGGAAAGAAAUACGGCUCUGGCGCUGCCUAAAUUCAGACCACAUAUAGCAUCCUUUAGGAUUAGCUAUUGAUGAAAAUCUAUCUGCAGUGCAAUAUGAGGAUUCUUUUGGAAAGGCGUUUUACAUUUUUUCCUCUUUUUCGUUUUUGAAUAAUUUGAAAAAAUUUCGAGAUCUUUAUGCAGAGGUUAUAUAUUGUCAUACUCAAAACUUUUGAUAUAAUUAAAAGAGACGGAUUUGACUACAUCUACUUGUACUUUUGCUGAUGUGAUUUCUUUUGACAACAACAUUUCUUUCCUUUUGUAUGUGAGUCCCUCUUAGAUUCUUCGCAUACUCUUGUGAAGAUGGGAUAUUCAAGAGAGUUCAUGUUUUGAUUCGUAAUUUUUCCCUGAUCUAAUUCGUGACAUAUCAGUUACUUGAUGAGCUAUAAGCGUAUUUCUAUUUGCGAAACAAAUAUGGUUUGAAAUUAGAAUCAUAUUUGAGCAUAUGAACUUGAAAAAUAUAUUAAGUUAAUAAAGCUUAAGUAGAUUAAGACAAACUAAAGUAGAACAAAUGUAGAAGCAGACAUCUCUCUAAAUAAAGCUUAAUAGUAUGCAAUUCCACUACGCUAUGUCUUCUUAUCCUUGACAUCUGAAAAUUGAAAACUAAGAUAGUGAGCGUUAAACACUUAUCAAUAAGAAAAAUUUGCUUCGGAGAGAGUAUCUAUUAGUUGUUGUUAUUAAAAAAAACUUGAAAACUAAUAUAUUAGUGUAGAACUUAUCUUGAAUACCUGUAAGUUCCUGAAAUCAAAUCUUUCUCCAUUGCUGAAUUGUCUAGAAGCGAUUAUUUCUUCUUCUGUAGUUCCUUUGCCUUCGCUGCUUCUUUCUCCUUGCCAUCAUAAUUGUGUGUCCCAGCUCUUCAACGAUUCUUUCAAGCCAUUUCAUAUUCCCAGUUGAGAUCAAGAUAUAUAUUAUGGAUAGUCCAAUACAUAGUUCGGUUCCAUACCCCAUAAGAGCGCCUUUCCAAAAAUCGUUGAGAAAUUCAGAGUUGCUUUCUUGAUUAUUUAGCACAGAUGUGGUGUAAUUUGUCUCGGAAACUAUAUCAGUACCACAACCUUUUGAAAGUGGGAAUCCACGUAAUCCAUCAUUAUCUUUGUAUGAAUUGUUCUCAAAUGUAGCAAAUUGAGGUCCUCUAGGGAUGCAUCCUUCAAGAUUAUUGUGGAAGAGAUUGAAAAAUUCAAGAGUCGUAAGAGAAGCAAUUUGUUUUCGUAUCUCUCCAGAGAGAUGGUUAAAUGAAAGGUCCAAUGAUUCAACCAAGGAUAAAUUUCCAAAUGAUGGUGGAAUAUGACCUUGCAAUCCAUUAUGAGACAAAUUCAAAACUCGGAGCGUGAUGAGAUCUCCCAUAAUACAAGGAAUAUGUCCUUCAAAUUUGUUGUUUGAAAGAUCGAUAGUUGUAUACAAAGACAAGAUUCUCACAACUUCAAGCUCCAAUCCCUUUGUUACGACAUCUACCGAGUCUUGGUAAUGUUGAUGAAGCUCAUAACUUGAUGCAUUUGUUUUUUUUAUCAAUUGUCCUCAUGGCUUUCAAAUGUUGAAACAAACUAUCGGCAAGUUUUUGGAAAAAUCAUUGCAAGAGAGAUCUAAGAUUUGAAGCUCAAGAAACAUGUAUUCACUUCCUGAAGUUCUAAUGGGUCCAUGCAACUUAUUCGACUUCAAGCUUAAAACUCGCAACUCGGGAAGAGUUCACAACCACAUUGGAAAUGUAUCAUUGAGGAGAUUGUCUCCUAAAUCAACAACUUGCAGCUCUUUGCAAUUUUUUAAGGAUCGUGGAAUUUUUCCCUCUAGCUUAUUGCCAUGCAAAUUGAAACUUUUGAGUGCACUUCCAAUGCAAAAAGUUGUUGGAAGAGUACCGAAAAGAUUGUUGUGCUGCAAAUCAAGAACCUCAAGAUGACGACUCAUGUUGCCAAAACAUUGCGGAAUUGCUCCCAUUAGAUUGUUUCUACCCAAAUCUACAACUUGUAGUGAUGUUAAAUUGCAAAUAGACGACGGGAGCUCUCCGCUGAGAUUAUUAUGUGACAUAAUCACAUACUGGAGGCCACUGAUAUUACCUAAGCAUUUCAGAAUUUUACCCUUCAAGUUGUUUUUCAACAAAUACAGGAUUGUCAGUGACGUCAAAUUACAAAAAGAUGAAGCAAUUUCAUCAGUCAGAUUGUUGUUGCCGAGAAACAGAGUUUGCAAGUUUCUCAAAUUCCCAAAGGAAGACGGAAUCGAACCAGUGAGUUGAUUAUUGGAUAAUUCUAGAUCAUUGAGAUUUUUCAGCUUCCCCAACUCACUAGGAAUUGGGCCAGAGAGUUGAGUAGCAUACAGGUCUAGAAGUUUGAGCUCAGUUAAGUCACCUAUAGUUUUUGGAAUUGGGCCAGAAAUAUUGUUUAAAAAUAAGCUUAAAUUUUGAAGUGACUUCAUCUUCCCUAUUUCUGCAGGAAUGGGACCAAACAAUUCAUUGGAGGGAUGUGACCUGUUAAUUGGUUUUUUUUCAAGAUAAGCUUCAACGAGAUUGGCAAGUUUUGCUAUUUCUGCAGGAAUACAGCCAGAAAGGUGAUUCUCGUAAAGAUACAAAUAGGACAAGUUGUUCAAAUUCCCCAAUGAAGCAGGAAUAGAACCAUUACGAAAAUUGGUACUCAAAUCUAGUUCAGUAAGAGACCUUAGGUAACCUAUUUCUUCCGGAACGGAGCCAGAAAGUUGAUUCUCAUAAAGAUUCAAAAGGGUCAAGUUGUUCAAUUUCCCCAAUGAAGGAGGAAUAGAACCAUUUAGGAAGUUCCAGCCCAAAGAAAGCUUAGUAAGAGACCUUAGGUAACCUAUUUCUUCCGGAAUGGAACCAUUUAAAAAGUUGUCAAAUAUGCGGAGGAUCUGAAGCUUGACUAGUGAGCCAAUUUGUGAUGGGAUCGUGCCCGAAAUUUGAUUGGUAUUCAAGUCAAGAUAGACAAGAUUAGUGAGAUUACCAAUCUCAGGUGGGAUGGUGCCAGACAAAAUUGUUCAUGCUAAGAUUAAGAUACUCAAGAAAAGGGACACAAUUAUUCUGGUUCUUGAAAUUUGCUUUCCAUGAGCAGUUGCUUCCUCAGUGGAAGAAAAAGUAAUUGUAAAAGAGAGUGAAGAACUGAAGUAAAUCUGGUUCUUCAAAGUUGAUUUCCAUUUAAGGAGAGCAGUUGCUUCCUCCGUGGAAGAAAAAGUAAUUGUAAAGAGAGUGAAAAAUGAAGUAAAGAGAAUAUUUUCGAAACCAUCAUAUUAAACGAUUUGGAGUUGAUGGUUUUUGUUGUUGAUGAAAUUGGUGCAGGGUACACUAUUUAUAUUGUAAUAAACCAAUACAAGCCUUGCGUGUAAACUAAGGCGUAGAAUCAGAAUGACUUUAAAGUCAAUGAGUCUUCGUUUUGUUGAAUAAUCAUCUCCAUAUGCUUGUUUCUAUAUGUUUGAAUUUUCUUCAUAUUAAUCAUUGUUGAAUAAUCAUCUCCAUAUGCUUGUUUGUAUGUGUUUGAACUUUUUUCAUAUUAAUCAAUUCCACUGUUACUGAAAGAACGCAUUGUUAAUGGGUUGUGUUGGGAAAAUCAGCAAUUUUCCCACUAAAACAAAACAACAAAAGAAUACCCGACAAACAAUAUUGAAUAAUGAAAUUAAAAGACACCAAAAAAUUUGAAAACGAAGCUCAGCCAAUUAGACUUAAUCUCCAAGCAUCCAACAUUUUUAUUAAUUGUUGUAGAAGAGAACAAAUUUGGGAUUAUACAAAUGGAAGGAGGUAGAGUUUCUUUUAUAGCUCUAAAUCUCCUCCCUAAAUUGUUAAUUAGUGAUGUGGGAGAAAAAAGGGAGCCAAAAACUAAUAGGUUGUACCUCCCUCAAGAAAAAAAAAUUUAUAAAAAAAGAGCGGAGGAAAUUAAGUCAAGAAAGAUAAUGAAUUGUAAGUGGUAAAUGUAGUGUAUUUUUCAAGUCUUCUUGUAGAAAUUUCAAAGUUAGCUACAUCACACAAAUUAAUUCAAUUUGAUGUAAAAUUCUAAAGCUUGCAUAAGAAAGUCCUUAUGCUUGAUUACACAUCUAUUUAUGUGGACCUAUUUUAUUGAAAAAAAAUACUUUGCUGGACCAAUAAUUAAUCUAGUCAAGUAUAUUUAAGUAGCCAAAAGAGUAGUAGAAUGUCAUUCUCAAACAUUAGAUACCACUAAUUCGAAAGAAAGAAAGAGUCCAACUGCAAAUACUUAAAUUUUGUCAUUCUCGAGUCAAUGUACAAGUCUCUUCCAUGGAAAUUUCAUAAGACAAUAUUUUUCAUGUCUUGAUGAGAAAAUUCAAACAAAUCCCUUUCACUUCCAAAUAAAUAAAAAGAUAUAGUUCAUUACCAAUAUAGUCUUGCCACUUUAACAUUAUCACAAAAUAAAGUUCACUGAUAUAAAAUUUAAUAGAAAAAUGAGAAAGGGCAUGGAAUAAUUUAAUUUAAUUCAGACAAAAAUCAUAUGGUAUAUAUGUGAUGCAGAUAUGUUUGGUUAUCAUUUCUCAUCUUUAAAUAUGGUGGAAUGAAUGAUAUCCCUUUACCUUAAUAAGAAGUUUCAGAUUUGAGCUUCGAGAAUUACAAAAAAAAACUUUGAUAUGAGGACUUUCCAUUUCAAUGUGCCUUACGUCGUGAGUAAAACCUCUACGUAACAACAUCCUUUGUCCGAAAAGCUUUUGGUUGCUACAACCAAAUGUCAUGGCGGAGCUAGGAUUUUCACUAAAGAGUUCGAAAUAUGAAAACAUAAGCAUGUUAAGAACCCAAAGAGAUUUAAUAUCUAUCAUAUAUAUAUAUGUAUAUAUAAAACUAUUUUGACCGUACAUAAAUAAUAUAACUUUUGCCUGGUUGAACCUACUUGGCUCUGCCCCUAUCCAUUUCUACACUAGAAAAUAUACAAUAUUACGGUAAUUCAAGAUAGAAAUUGACUGUCACCAGUAAAGCGAAAGUUUGGAUAGUUUGAGCUAGUAAGAUUCGAUAAAUAUAACAUAAACAAUCAAUUUCAAUUAGAGCUCGCUCGCUACAGAAAAAUGUUGUUAUAGAGAAAUCUGAAGAUAAAAUGUACGUAAUAAUUUCACGUAAACUUUAUAAAUUUAAUCACAAAUGAGUUUAUUUCUGUUUGCGAAACAAAUAUAGUUUGAAAUUAUGAAUUAAAUAGCUUGAGCUAUUGUCUUCCUUUUGGGAUUAUGUAACAAGACAUUCAAAGUUGAGCAUAUGAACUUGAAAAAUAUAUUAAGUUAAUAAUCCUUAAGUAGAUAGUGAAAAUGGGAGGAACCAACUCCACUGCUCCAAACACUUGACGUCUGAAAUCUGAAAAAUAAGAUAGUGCGCGUCAAACACUUAUCAAUAAGAAAAAUAUACUUCGGAGAGAGUAUCGAUUAGUUGUUGUUAUUGAAAAAAAAAAUGAAAACUAAUAUAUUAGUGUAGAACUUAGCUUGAAUACCUGUAAGUUCUAGAAUCGAUUAUUUCUUCUUCUAUAAUUUUCUAAUGAAGCCGUGUGGGGCUCUUUCGAUUCACUACCAUUGUUGUUCUUGUGUUCAUCUCUUUUAUUUCUCAAAACUAAAUCUAAAGUCUAGUGAAUCUGUGAGUGGCCUAUUUCGAUUCACUAGCACCUUGCUGUUCAAUUUGUUGCUCUUGUGUUGGCUUGAAUAUCUUGAUACACACUUAGUCUUGUAUCAUUUUGGCAUCAGAGCAAGGCUGUUUGUGUUCCUACACUACCAAUCUUGGGUUUUAUUGGACGAAAAUUCAAAAAAAAAAAGCUGAAAACUGAAAAAAAAUUCCAUAAAAGUGCAAAUCUGUCCAUUUUGUGUUCUUGGCCGAAAAUUGUGUUGUUGUUAUCUUGGCCAAGAUUUGUUUGUUGUGUGUCUAGAACUUGUAGUCUUUUGUUUGGGAUUAUGUAACAAGACAUUCACAGUUGAGCAUAUGAACUUGAAAAAUAUAUUAAGUUAAUAAUCCUUAAGUAGAUAGUGAAAAUGGGAGGAACCAACUCCACUGCUCCAAACACUUGACGUCUGAAAUCUGAAAAAUAAGAUAGUGCGCGUCAAACACUUAUCACUAAGAAAAAUAUACUUCGGAGAGAGUAUCGAUUAGUUGUUGUUAUUGAAAAAAAAAAUGAAAACUAAUAUAUUAGUGUAGAACUUAGCUUGAAUACCUGUAAGUUCUAGAAUCGAUUAUUUCUUCUUCUAUAAUUCCUUUGCCUUCGCUGCUUCUUUCUCCUUCCCAUCACAAUUUUGUGUUCCAGCUCUUCAAUGAUUCUUGGAAGCCAUUUCAUAUUUCCAGUUGAGAUCAAGAUAUAUAUUAUGGAUAGUCCGAUACAUAGUCCGGUUCCAUACCCCAUAAGAGCUCCUUUCCAAAAAUCAUUCAGAAAUUCAGAGUUGCUUUCUUCAUCAAUCGCAGAUCCAGCAUAUGUUUCCUCUGAUACUGAAUCAUGACCGUCAUUACCACAGCCUUCUGAAAGUGGGAAUCCACAUAAUCCGUCAUUACCUUCGUAUGAGUUGUUCUCAAAGGUAUGAAAUUGAGGCCCUUGAGGAAUGCACCCUUCGAGAUGAUUGUAGGAGAGAUUUAAGAAUGCAAGAAAUGUAAGAGAAGCAAAUUGUGCUGGUAUCUCUCCUACAAGAUGGUUACCUGACAGGUCCAAUGAUUCAACUGAAGAUAAAUUUCCAAGUGAUUGCGGAAUAAGACCUUGCAAUCCAUUAUGAGAUAAAUUUAGUACGCGAAGGGCAAUGAGGUCAACAAUGAUACUUGGAACAUGUCCUUCAAAUUUAUUGUUUGAAAGAUCAAUAGUGUUGUACAAAAACAAGAUUCUCACAACUUCUAGCACUAUUCCCUUUGUUACGACAGCUAUGGAGUUUUGGUAAUACCCAACUUCGUCAUCACUAGGUGGCUUCUUUGAUGGAUCAAUUUUCCUCAUGGCUCUGAAAUGUUGAAACAGACUUGUCGGUAAGUUUCCCAUGAAGUCAUUGCAAGAGACAUCUAAGAUUCGGAGCUCAUGAAACAUGUAUUCACUUCCUGAAGUUCUAAUGGGUCCAUGCAACUUAUUCGAUCUCAAGCUUAAAACUCGCAGCUCGGGAAGAGUUCCCACCCACAUUGGAAAUGUAUCAUUAAGGAGAUUAUCUCCUAAAUCAAGAACUUCCAGUCGUUGACAAUUUUCCAAGGACAGUGGAAUUUUUCCCUCUAGCCUAUUUCCAUGCAAAUUGAAGCUUCUGAGUGCACUUCCAAUUCUAAAAGCUGUUGGAAGAGUACCAAACAGAUUGUUGUGCUGCAUAUCAAGAACCUCAAGAUGACCACUCAUGUUUCCAAAACAUUGCGGAAUUGCUCCUUUUAGAUUGUUUCUACCCAAAUCUAGUACUUUUAGGGAUGUUAAAUUGCAAUUAGACGGAGGGAGCUCUCCACUGAGAUUAUUAUGUGACAUCAUCGCAUACUGGAGGCUACUGAUAUUACCCAAGCAUUGCUGAAUUUUUCCCUUCAAGAUGUUUCUCAACAAAUCUAGACCAAUCAGUGACGUCAAAUUGCAAAUAAAUGAAGGAAUUUCCUCUGUCAGAUUGUUGUUGGCGAGAAUUAGAUUUUUCAAGUUUCUCAAAUUGACAAAGGAAGACGGAAUUGAACCAGUUAGUUGAUUAUUGGAUAAUUCCAGAAGAUUGAGGUUUUUUAGAUUCCCCAACUCACUAGGAAUUGGGUCAGUGAGUUGGUUAUUGGAUAAUAUUAGAUACUUGAGGUUUUUCAGAUUCCCCAACACACUAGGAAUUGGGCCAAAGAGUUGAUUAUUGGAUAACUCCAGAUAAUUGAGGUUUUUCAGAUUCCCCAACUCUCUAGGAAUUGGGCCAGAGAGUUGAUUAUAAAAUAAUCCAAGAUCAUUGAGGUUUUUCAGAUUCCCCAACUCACUAGGAAUUGGGCCAGAGAGUUUACCAUAAAGAUACAAAAGGGACAAGUUGUUCAAGUUCCCCAAUGAAGCUUCAAUAGAGCUAAGGAAGUUCCCGCCAAAAGAUAGCUUAGUAAGAGACCUUAGCUGACCUAUUUCUCCUGGAAUGGGACCAUUUAAAUGGUUGUCAAAUAUGAAGAGGAUCUGAAGCUUGACUAGUGAGCCGAUCUGUGAUGGGAUUGAGCCCGAAAUUUGAUUGAUUCUCAAGUCAAGAUAGAUAAGAUUAGUGAGAUUACCAAUCUCAGGUGGGAUGGUGCCAGAAAAAUUGUUCAUGCUAAGAUCAACAUAUUCCAGAGAAGGGAGGGAUGUAAAUGGAAAAGCGUAGAGUGUACCAAAGACACUAGCAUUUGUAAUAUUCAACGUGUUUACCCUACCAUUAAUUCAUGUAACUCCAUACCAGUCGUUGCAUGCACCAGAACUUGGUUUCCAUGAAGCCAACAAGGAAUUAUUCUGGUUCUUGAAAGUUGAUUUCCAUUUAAGCAGAGCAGUUGCUUCCUCAGUGGAAGCAAAGUAAUUGUAAAGAGAGUGAAAAACUAAAGCAAAGAGAUAUUUUUGAAAUCAUCAUCAUGUACUGUUAAACUAUUUUGAGUUGAUAAUAUUUGUUGUUGAUGGAUAUAUUGAUGCAGGGUACACUAUUUAUAUAUUAAUAAACCAAUACAAGCCUUGCGUGUAAACUAAGGAGUAGAAUCAGAAUUACUUUAAAGUCAAUGAGUCUUCGUUUUGUUGCUAAUCAUCUUAGUUUGGUUAAUGAUGUCAUUAUUUUAUUCAUAUGAGAAAAUAUAUCUCAAAAACUAAGCAAUAAUGCCCUGAACAUGGAUAAUUAAACAUCGAAUAACUUAGUUUGAAAGUUCCAUUAACCCAUUUUAAAUUAUUGAAUCAAAUUAAACAAUUAAAUACAUUUCGUUGGUUCCAAAAGAAAACGAAAAAAGAGCGAGAAAAAUGAAGUCAAGAAAGACUUUGUAAGUCUUGUUGUGGAAAUUUCAUUGAAAUCAUAUCUUUGAAUUUUCGUUUGAUGUUACUACUCAUUAAAAAAACAUAUUCUUUAAUCUUAUCAUCAAGCAUCAUGUGUAAUUGGUUUCAAGUAUAAGAAAAUAUCCUUUUUUUUUCUUAUUCGUUCAUAGAUAAUAGCGCAAUUGGUGAUCUCAAUUUAUUUUAUGAAAUCUUUUUAUCCAUGCAAAAGUACAUUAAUAAUUCAAAAGUGUUUAUCAAUUACUUCACAUCAUCGUUUUUAUUUCUUCAAACCCUGCGUAUAGCGGGAGCUUUGGUGCAACAAACUAUCCUUUUCUAUUUCACGAGAAUCACGAAAAGCUGUACUUAUAAUUAGUCAUUGAGGUCCACUAUCAUAUUUUGAAAAAAAGAGCGGAGGCUUAAAUAAAGGGAUAACAGAUAAACGUUCCCUUUAACUUGGCUUCAACUUGCAUCUAUGCCCUCCAACUUUGGGCGUGCACAAGUAGGCGUUUAAACUCGUAUAAAGCUGAAGAAGUAGACAUAUGCAUUCUACGAGGCCAAUUUUCAUCCUACGUGGUGUUCUACAUGUAUUAUACUACAUAGAACGUGUGUGUCUAUUUAGUGUUUGGGUCUUUUGGAUACCUAAUAAGGAAUCUUCAGUUUGAUAUUACCUCUAAAUGGAGAAGAUCCUCCCUAAUCUAUUGCAUGAUGAACUCAACAAAACAGAAAAUUCAAGUUAUCAUGCUAUAGAAAAAUAAUUAAGAAUUUACACGUUUUAACUGUGAGGAAACGAAAGGAGUUCACAUUAGGGAUUAUGGAAAGUCCAUCAUUUAUCAAAUGUUCAAAUUGGGGUUAAUUCAAGAAAUAUUAUCGGUUUCAUGGCUCAUAUAAAAAUAUUCAAAUUUUUAUAUGUUUUUGUUACAAGAAAAGAACAAGAGCAGUUCUUUGUCUACUCAUUGGACUAUGCACGUGCCCGUCUUGCAAAUGAUGCCAAGGCUGCAAAGAAAGGAGGCGAGAGACAGUUCAAUGGUAUGAUUGAUGUCUACAGAAGACACUCGCUUCUGAUGGAGUUGCUGGACUGUACCGUGGAUUCAACAUUUCAUGUCUUGGUAUCAUUGUCUACCGUGGUUUGUACUUGAAAUUGAGGCCCUUGAGGAAUGCAUCCUUCAAGAUGAUUAUAGGAGAGAUUUAAGACUUCAACAAAUGUGAGAGAAGCAAAUUGUGGUGGUAUCUCUCCUACAGGUCCAAUGCUUCAACUGAAGAUAAACUUCCAAGUGAUGGUAGAAUAUGACCUUACAAUCCAUUAUGAGACAAAUUCAAAACUCGGAGCGCAAUGAGAUCUCCCAAAAUACAAGGAAUAUAUCCUUCAAAUUUGUUGUUUGAAAGAUCGAUAGUUGUGUACAAAGACAAGAUUAUCACAACUUCAAGCUUCAAUCCCUUUGUUACAACAUCUACCGAGUCUUGGUAAUAUCGAUGAAAUUCAUAUCUUGAUGCAUUUGUUUUUUUAUCAAUUGUCCUCAUGGCUUUCAAAUGUUGAAACAAACUCAUCGGCAAGUUUUUGGAAAAAUCAUUGCAAGAGAGAUCUAAGAUUUGAAGCUCAAGAAACAUGUAUACACUUCCCGAUGUUCCAAUGGGUCCUUGCAACUUAUUCGAUCUCAAGCUUAAAACUCGUAGCUCGGGAAGAGUUCCCAACCAGAUUGGAGAUGUAUCGUUGAGGAGAUUCUCCUAAAUCAAGAACUUUCAGUAGUUGGCAAUUUUCCAAGGAUCGUGGAAUUUUUCCCUCUAGCUUAUUGCCAUGCAAAUUGAAGUUUCUGAGUGCACUUCCAAUGCUAAAAGUUGUUGGAAGAGUACUGGAAAGAUUGUUGUGCUGCAUAUCAAGAACCUCAAGAUGACAGCUCAUGUUGCCAAAACAUUGCGGAAUUGCUCCCAUUAGAUUGUUUCUACCCAAAUCUAGAACUUGUAGUGUUGUUAAAUUGCAAAUAGAUGACGGGAGCUCUCCUCUGAGAUUAUUAUGGGACAUCAUCACAUACCAGAGGCCAUUGAUAUUACCCAAGCAUUGCAGAAUUUUUCCCUUCAAGUUGUUUUUCUACAAAUGCAGGAUUGUCAGUGAUGUCAAAUUGUAAAUAGAUGAAGGAAUUACCUCAAUCAGAUUGUUGUCGUCAAGAAACAGAGUGUACAAGUUUCUCAAAUUGCCAAUGGAAGACGGAAUUGGGCCAGAGAGUUGAUUAUUGGAUAAUAGAUCAUUGAGGUUUUUCAGAUUCCGCAACUCACUAGGAAUUGGGCCAGAGAGUUGAUUAUUGGAUAAUCCUAAAUCACUGAGGUUUGUCAGAUUCCCCAACUCACUAGGAAUUGGGCCAGUGAGGUGAUUAUUGGAUAAUUCCAGAUAAUUGAGGUUUUUCAGAUUCCCCAACUCACUAGGAAUUGGGCCAGAGAGUUGAUUCAAAUAAAGAUACAAAAAGGACAAGUUGUACAAAUUCCCCAAUGAAGCGGGAAUAGAGCCAUUAAGGAAGUUCUCGCCCAAAGAUAGCUUAGUAAGAGACCUUAGGUAACCUAUUUCUUCUGGAAUGGGACCAUUUAAAUGGUUGUCAAAUAUGUGGAGGAUUUGAAGCUUGACUAGUGAGCCGAUUUGUGAUGGGAUUGUGCCCGAAAUUUGAUUGGCAUGCAAGUCAAGACAGAUAAGAUUAGUGAGAUUACCAAUCUCAGGUGGGAUGGUUCCAUAAAAAUUGUUCAUGCUAAGUUUAAAAUAUUCAAGAAAAGGGAGGGAUGAAAACGGAAAAUCAUAGAGGGUACCAAUGACUCUAGAAUUAUUAAUAUUCAACCUGUUUACCCUACCAUUAAAGCAAAUACCUCCGUACCUGCCGCUGCAUGCAUCAGAACUUGGUUUCCAUGAAGCCAAUAAGGAAUUAUUCUGGUUCUUGAAAGUUGAUUUCCAUUUUAGGAGAGCAGUUGCUUCCUCAGUGGAAGCAAAAGUAUCUGCAAAGAGGUACAAGAGAGUGAAAAACUGAAGUAAUAACAAGAAUAUUUCGUUGGAAACCAUCAUCAUAUACUGCUAAUAAUUAAGUGAUUGUGAUUUGAUUAUUUUGUUUGUUAAUGGAUGAAAUUGGUUCUGGGUACACUUUUUAUAUUACAGUAAACAAGUACAAGUCUUGCAUCUCAAAUAAGGCGUUGCAUCAGAAAGACUGACUUAAAAGUCUUCAAAUAAUUAAAUGCAUUUCUUUGUAAGUCUUCAAAUAAUUAACUGUAUUUCUUUAUAAGUCUUCAAAUAAUUAAAUGCAUUUCUUUGUUAAGUCUUCAAAUAAUUAACAGCAUUUCUUUAUAAGUCUUAAAAUAAUUAAAUGCAUUUCAUUGUAUUAAAUGCAUUUGAAAACUACAACACACAAAAAUGAAGUCAAGAGUGACUCUGUAAGUCUUGCUGUGGAAAUUUCAUAUGAAAACUACAACAAGCAAAUCCAUGUCUCUUUGAAUUUUCAUUUGAUGUUACUACUCAUCAACAGAACGUAUUCCUUACUCUAAUCAUCAAGCAUCAUGUGUAGUUAGUAGUUUGAACUUUAAAAAAAAAAUCCUUUUGUCUUAUUCGUUCCUAGGUAAUAGCGAAAAUGAUGACCGAAACAGAAAUUAUUCAUAGACUAAUAAUGAGUAUUAUGGGUGCCGAGAAUUGUGUGUGGCUUAAUGAUCAAUAAGUGGCCUAAUUGUCCAAGAAAUAAGGGAAAAGCACAGGAGUAUAAGGCUUAAAUCUCACCAAUAAAGUCAGAUGAUUUUUCAAUCAAACAUAGUUAUGGUGGUGGCUGAGUUAUGUAGCACGUAUUCAAUACACAAGUUAGCCCGAAUACCACUGUUAUUGAAAAAAUGGAGAUCAAAGCAGAGAAAUUAAGGAGGAAAUUAUCUCCAUAUGCUUGUUUAUAUGCGUUUAGAAGAUGUCAUUCUCUAAGUCAAUGUACAAGUUUUAGUCUUGCCAAGGAAAAUGCCAGUUUGGCCUAUUGUUAUUAAGAAACUAAAUUGGCACCAUAUCCUCAAAAGAAAGAAAGAGUCCAAAUGCACAUACUUAAAUUUUGUCAUUCUCAAGUCAAUGUACAAGUCUCUUUCACGAAAAUUUCAUAUGAUGUGGUCAUUUGCUUUGAGAAAAUAAUUUCUUCACUAUAUUUUCUAUGGCAGAAGUCCUUUUAAUUUGAAUUGUCAAUUCAAGUGAAAGUAUUUUUCACUCUAAUAGCUAUGAAUUAUUCAACUUCUAUUCUCUUCACUUUAAUUUUGAUUUUUCAUUCUGAUUUGACAACUUAAACGUACUCGAGACUUAGUUUACAUUUAUGUCUUCCUCUACUUUUUUAACUUUAAAAAGAAAAACUUUUGUGUUGCUCCCCAAAGUAGAAAAGGAAAAUAAAACUUCAAGUUUUUAGUAUAAAUGAAUGUUGAACUAAUGAGUUUAUACUGAAUAUUCCUUUUGAGAUUAUGUGACAAGACAUUCAAAGUUGAGCAUAUGAACUUGAAAAAUAUAUUAAGUUAAUAAAGCUUAAUUAGAUUAAUACAAAUUAAAGAAGAAUAAGUGUAGAUGCGGACAUCUCUCAAAAUAAAGCAUAAUAGUGAACAUAGGAGUAACCAACUCCACUGCGCCAACGUCUUCUUAUCCUUGACAUCUGAAAAUUGAAAAAUAAGAUUGUGAGCGUCAAACACUUAUCAAUAAGAAAAAUAUGCUUCGUAUAGAGUAUCACUUAGUUAUUGUUAUUAAAGAAAACAUGUAGACUAGUAUAUCAGAAUCAAACUUCAAAUAAUUAUACAUAUUUCUUUUGUCCCAAACGUAAAGGAAAAAAGAGCAGAGAAAAAUGAAAUAAAGAAAGACUUUGUACGUCUUUCUAUGGAAAUUUUAUAUGAAAACUACGACACACAAAUCCAUGUCUCUUUGAAUUUUCAUUUGAUGUUACUACUCAUUAAUUGAACGUAUUCUUUACUCUAAUCAUCAAGUAUCAUGUGUAGUUAGUUUGAACUAUAAAGAAAUAUCCUUUUCUCUUAUUCGUUCAUAGAUAGUAGUGCAAAUGAUGAUCUCAAUUUAUUUUAUUAAAACACAAAUUAUUCAUAGAUUAAUAAUGAGUCUUUUUUGGUAUAAUAAGACAAUAUUUUCCAUGUCUUGAUGAGAAAUUUCAAACAAAUCCCUUUCACUUCCAAAUAAACAAAAAGAUAUAGUUCAUUACCAAUAUAGUGUUGCCACUUUAACAUUAUCACAAAAUAAAGCUCACUGAUAUUAAAUUUAAUAGCAAAAUGAAAAAAAGGCAAGGAAUAAUUCAAUUUAAUUCAGACAAAAAUCAUAUGGUAUAUAUGUGAUGCAGAUAUGUUUGGUUAUAAUUUCUCAUCUUUAAACUAGUGGAGCAUCUAUAGAAAUUUCCAAGAAAGUUGCAUCACAAAAAAUCAUUCAAUUUGAUGUAAAAUCCCAAAGCUUGCAAAAUGAAAAAAAAAGGAAAAAAAAACUAAUGGUAAAUCCUUAUACUUGAUUAGACAUUAAUUUAUUUAUGUGGACCGAUUUUAUUAAAAAGAGAAUACUUUAUUGUGAUCUAAUCAAGCAUAUUUAAGUAGCUGAAAGAGUAGGAAAAUGUCAUUCUCAAACAUUAGAUACGACUAAGUCACAUAAUAAAGUGUUUUUUGGUAUAAUAAGACGAUAUUGAGGGACCUGAUAUUUAUGAUGAGACGUGGUCUUUUCGUAUUCCUUUUUUAUUUCUCAUUCGAUAUUCAUUAUGGUCUCGAUUAAUUUGAAUUUGCACCAUGUAGGCCUAUUAACGGAGGAAGCACCAAGUUUUUUUACGCGGAGUGUCCCUCCAAAUAUCUUUUAUCUUGCAACUAAAAGUAUAAAUGCAGUUCUUUGAAUUUUCAAGUAACUUAGUAAUUUAUGCACGGUUGCAAGAUUUGAUAAGACAGCAACAGCCUUGUCGAUGGCUGGUUCAAGGUCAGACAUUUCCUCGGAUCAAGUAGCUUUAUGUUGUUUGAUUCACACCAAUUUGCUUAAGUGUAGGUCUAAGACUGUUUCAUCGUGACGAAUCAGUCGUGCAUACAGGAAGCAGUGUUUGUCACGACCCAAGCUGAGGCCCUAGUCACGACGGGCCUAAGAGACCCCUUCUAUCCUAGCCCACUAGUGAUAUUGUCCAGCUUGUUCAUUGUUUAUCACGACCGGAGCCGAGGCCCUAGUCACAACGGGCCUGAGAGACCCUUUAUAUCCUAGCCCACUAGUGAUAUUGCCCAGCUUUUUCAUUGUUUGUCACAACCCGAACCGAGGCCCUAGUCACGACAAGCCUGAGAGACCCUUUAUAUCCUAGCCCACUAGUGAUAUUGUCCGCUCUAGGUCUAGACCCUCAUGGCUAUAAAACACGUCUCUAGGGAGUAAGGCUUGCUUACUUAUAUACCCAUCAUCCCUCCUGUGUUUUGCCGAUGUGGGACUCUUUAUCCUAAGUUGGGGUGUUACAUUGUUCUCCUUUAAUUUUUUAAAAGCUCUUGGUUUGACUUCAAUCUUGGGGCAAUCCGCAAUAUUUGCAAAGCUGUCUACAUAAGGUGCUCUGCAUACUUAUGCUGCUAUGAUUUUCUUUUUGAUAGAACAGAAUUACCUUCUUUGAUUCUGUUUAAGUGAGUAAAAAAAGAAAAAGGUCAAUCCAGUACACUAAAGCUACCGCUAUGCGCGGUGUCCGAGGAACGGCCCCACCACAAGGAUGUAUCGUACGCAGUCUUACCUUGCAUUUCUACCAAAGGCUAUUUCCAAGGCUUGAACCCGUGACCUCUGGUCACAUGGCAGCAACUUUACCAGUUACUUCAAGUGAGUAUUGGUCUAAAUAUCUUGUUUUCAUUCGUAAAGUCAUUAAUAUCUUCCUCCGUAGAUUCAACUCUUCUCAAUGCUCUUUCCAAUACUAAAAGUCAUUGGAAGAGUCCCUAAGAGACUGUUGUGGUGCAUAUCUAGAACACUGCAGAAUUGCUCCCUUCAAGUUAGUUUCUUGCCAAAUCUAGCAUUACCAGAGAUGCCAAAUUGCAAAUUGAUGACAGAAUUUCUUAAUUGAGAUUAUUUUGGUUGCGGGAAUUAAGGAAAUGCCUCCGCAAAUUCGUUAUAUUUUCCCAUGGAAAUGUAAAAUGAAAGGGAAAAAUGUUUUCUUCAAAUGUUGCAAAUUCGGCUGCCAUCUCUAAUUCACACUUUGUCUCUGUUCAUAUCUCGUCACAGAAAUUGUUAUCAUUAUCAAGUCAAAUUUGGAUAGUUCUGUUUAUUUUUUUUAAAAGAAUGUGUUGCAUAUCUACAUUUUUUCCCAAGUUAACAAAACUAUCAUACACAAAAUAAUUACUUUUCUCAAAAAUGAAAAAGUAGAGAAUCAUAUGUUGUGCUACUAUUAUAUUUUCUAUGACAGACGUCCUUUAAUUUUGAACUGUCAGUUCAAGUGAAAGUAUUUUUCACUCUAAUAGCUAAAGAUCAUUCAACUUCUAAUCUCUUCACUUUAAUUUUGAUUUUUCAUUCUGACUUGACAACUUAAAUGUACUUGAGACUUAGUUUACAUUUAAGUCUUCCUCUAUCUCUUUUAACUUUUUAGAAAAAAUUUGGUGUUGCUCCCCAAAGUAAAAAAGGAAAAUAAUAAUUCAAGUUUUAGUAGUGCUACAGUAUCAAUGAAUGAGGGAUUUUUCCAAGUUACAUCUAUUUGUUGUUUUGCUGAUACGAUUUCUUUUGUCGAAACCAUUUUCUUUCCCUUUGUAAGGGACUCCCAGAGAAGACAAGUUUUGAUUCAUAAUAUUUUCUUGUUGUAAUUCGUAACGGAUCAGUUACUUAGUGAGGUAUAAGCUUAUUUCUGUUUGUGAAACAAAUAUGGUUUGAAAUUAUGAAUUAAAUAGCUUGAGCUAUUGUCUUCCUUUUGGUAUUAUGUCACAAGACAUUCAAAGUUGAGCAUAUAAACUUGAAAAAUAUAUUAAGUUAAUAAACCUUAAGCUGAUUAAUACAAACUAAAGAAGAACAAAUGUAGAUGCAUACAUCUCUCAAAAUAAAGCUUAUUAGUGAACAUAACAGUAACCAACUCCACUGUGCCAACGUCUUCGUAUCUUUGACAUCUGAAAAUUGAAAAAUAAGAUAGUGAGUGUCAAACACUUAACAAUAAGAAAUACUAAUAUAUCAGCGUAGAACUUAGCUUGAAUACCUGUAAGUUCCCGAACUUAAAUCUUGCUCCAAUGACAAAUGUUCUAGAAGCGAUUAUUGCUUCUUCUGUAAUUCCUUUGCCUUCUCUGCUUCUUUCUCCUCGCCAUCAUAAUUUUGUGUCCCAGAUCUUCAACGAUUCUUACGGUAACCAUGCAAGAACUAAAACAAAUGCUCCCACACACAAGCACAUGAGUUACGCUUAUUCCACUAACUUCUGGGAUUAUUUGCAUCACAUAGUCAUGCACACUUUUCAUCCGAAUGCCAAUUACAGAAUCACCAAAGGUUGUUCAACAUAUGCUAAACGACAAGAGAAAAUAGUUAUACAAAAAUGCUCAUAGCCUUAUCCCAAAGUCAUUCGUCAUCUACAUAUACAACAAGAUGCUAAAAAAAAAAAAAAGACACUUCAUAAAUAAACAUUAAUAAAUGGAUAUUUACAUCACAACCUAAGAAAAGAAAAUGCAAUACUAGACAUGCCGGUUCUACUAGAUAGCACACAGGAGGAAAAGAACACAGGUAGCAAAAAACCCCAUGGUACAAGUACACCCAUCCACACAUAAAAUAAAUGUGCUGUCCUUAAUGCAUAUAAAGAUAGUACAGAGGAGGAGAGUACUUGGAAAAGUACCGGAAAGAUUGUUGUGGUGCAUAUCAAGAACCUCAAGAUGACCACUCAUGUUGCCAAAACAUUGCGGAAUUGCUCCAAUUAGAUUGUUUCUACCCAAAUCUAGAACUUGUAGUGAUGUUAAAUUGCAAAUAGAUGAUGGGAGCUCUCCAUUGAGAUUAUUAUGUGACAUCAUCACAUACUGGAGGCCACUGAUAUUACCCAAGCAUUGCAGAAUUUUUCCCUUCAAGUUGUUUCUAGACAAAUACAGGACUGUCAGUGAAGUCAAAUUACAAAUAGAUGAAGGAAUUUCCUCAAUCAAAUUGUUGUUGCCGAGAAAUAGAGUUUGCAAGUUUCUAAAAUUUCCAAAGGAAGACGGAAUUGAACCAGUAAGUAGAUUAUUGGAUAAUGUCAGAUUAUUUAGGUUUUUCAGAUUCCCUAACACACUAGGAAUUUGGCCAGAGAGUUGAUUAUCGGAUAAUUCCAGAUUAUUGAAUUUUUUCAGAUUCCCCAACUCAUUAGGAAUUGGGCCAAAGAGGUUUUUAUUAUUGGAUAAUACCAGAUGAUUGAGGUUUAUCAGAUUCCGCAACUCACUAGGAAUUGGGCCAGAGAGUUGAUUAUUGUAUAAUGCUAGAGUAUUGAGAUUUUUCAGAUUCCCCAACUCACUAGGAAUUGGGCCAGAGAGAGUUGCUUAUUGGGUAAUCCCAGAAAAAUGAGGUUUUUCAGAUUCCCUAACACAUUGAGAAUUAGGCCAGAGAGAUUAUUAUUGUAUAAUUCCAGCUCAAUGCGGUUUUUUAGAUUCCCCAACUCACUAGUAAUUGGGCCAAAGAGCUGAUUAUCAUAAAGAUACAGAUAGGACAAGUUGUUCAAAUUCCCCAAUGAAGCAGGAAUAAAGCCAAUAAGGAAGUUCCCGCCCAAAGAUAGCUUAGUAAGAGACCUUAGGUAACCUACUUCUCCUGGAACGGGACCAUUUAAAUGGUUGUCAAAACUGAGGAGGAUCUGAAGCUUGACUAGUGAGCCGAUUUGUGAUGGGAUUGUGUAUGAAAUUUGAUUGCUAUUCAAGUCAAGAUAGACAAGAUUAGUGAGACUACCAAUCUCAGGUGGGAUGGUGCCAGAAAAAUUGUUCAUGGUAUGAUCAAGAUACUCAAGAAAAGGGAGAGAUGAAAACGGGAAAUCAUAGAGUGUAGCAAAGACACUAGCAUUUGUGAUAUUCAACGUGUUUACCCUACCAUUAAUGCAUGAAACUCCGUACCAUUCGUUGCAUGCAUCAGAACCUGGUUGCCAUGAAGCCACUAAGGAAUUAUUCAGGUUCUUGAAAGUUGCUUUCCAUUUAAGGAGGGCAGUUGUUUCAUCACAGAAGCAAAAGUAACUCUAAAAGGAUAUAAAAGAGUUAAAAGACCAAGUAAUAAAGAGAAUAUUUUGUUGGGAACCAUCAUCAUAUUUUGAGUUUAUUAUUUUAGUAUUGAAUGUCUUCAUCAGAGGUAGGGGUAUGAACUGCGUACAUCUUACCCCCCAGACCCCACUAGGUGGGAAUACACUGGAUUUAUUGUUGUUGUAUUUUAGUAUUGAAUGAAGUAAUUGUGGAGGGUUCACAGGGUUUUAUAUUGUACCUAACUUAUCAUUAAAUACCAAAAGGGAAACGUGUUUUCAUCAAAUGUUGCAAAUUCGACUAUUCCCUCUCAUUCCCACUUUGUCUCUUCAUAUUAUAUCAGAGAACAUGUUCCAUUCUCAAGUCAAAUUUGCGUUGUUAUGUUUUUGUCUUUUUUAUAAACAAAAUUAUCCACAUAUUACGGAAAAAAAAAUGGCAGCCCGGUGCACUAAAGGUACCGCUAUGCACGGUGUUCGGGGAAGAGCCUCACCACAAGGGUAUAUUGUACUCAGUCUUACCUUGUAUUUCUGUCAGAUAGUGUUUCCAAGGCUUGAACCUGUGACCUCCUGGUCACAUGUAUACUUGUAUUUUGUGUUACCUCCUUAUUUAUUGUCAUCACAAAAUGUCUUAAUUAUUCUCUCUCUCUUAUACAUUCACACUUGGUAGAUAAAAUUGUCUUUUAUUAACUUGUAUGAUUCUCAAGUCAAAUUGUGUAACACAUCUACAUUUUUUUCAAGUAAACAAAACUAUCAUACAGAAAAUAAAUUUCGUCAAAAGAAUAUCUGGCAUCAGAAUGGAGUCGAAGAAAAUCAUCCAUUGAAGGUUCAUAUUUGAGUAUCGGAUUGGUGACUGUCCUGUUAGGUUGAUCCAUCUCAUUAUCGGGUCAACCGGAUGGUCAUUAUUGGGAAUUAAGGUGGGAACUCGCGGCCUCAUGUGACGAAAGAAGAAUAACAAUGACUCGUGUCCCGAAGAAAAAAUAAAAGGACAAAAGGGCAGAUACGAUAGAUGUACGCCUACGAGAUCAACCAAAUUGUUGGGUUCAAUAUAUAUGAAAAACGUGAAUGGAAAAUGGAGGGACACAAGCUUUGGGAAAAGACAUAUUGUUUUGAAAAAGGAGUGACUUUUCAGAUAGUUUUGUCUGUUCAGAAAAAGACACAAUGUUUCGAAUGAACAGACAUGACUCUUCCAAAGGAUACACCUUCUCGGAUGAACCAUUGCCAACUUUCGGAAGGGGCGCUUGAUGGCUAUAUAAACUAGCAUUUAUCCACAGGUUUAUGCAUGAAAAUUUUUUCUGAACAUAAAAACUCUUCUUGUCUUCAAAACAUUCCUUGUGAUCAAUCAAAUCGUUGAGUGAGUUCGACGAAUCCAAUUAUUUAAGGUAUGAUACAAAACAGCCCAAGAACACAAGAAAACAAACACCAAAACAGUCCACUAGUUCAAGGAACUAUGGACCUCUUUUGGUGACCUCUCUCGGAUUCAAGAACACAAUAAGAAGACCAUGUAAUGAGGUGUUUAACAACUAUUUUCCAGCAGCAAACCAAACUAUAUUAUGAUAAUAAAAAUGAAGAACAACAAUGUUACAACAACAAUAACCUAACGGCUUGAACAAGAACAACACAAACUACAAGAUUAGGACAAGAAAUAAAGAUAGAUAGUUAGACAAGUCUUGAUGUAGUCUUAACAACCCAAGAGCAUAUUCCACUCUUAGACCUUUAACACUUCAUACAACAAACACCUAACGCUUACAAUGACACAAGAGGGGCAUCCACCUCUUAAAGCACCAAAGUCUCAAGCUUUGUAAUACACAAGAGAAUCCACCAUUAUGCUAUGACCUAAUUUCAAUUUUGAGAACUCUCUCUCACAAGAGUAGUGUCUUCAAUAUCAAGAAUAAACUAAGAAAAUAAACCCUACAAGGUUCUAUUUAUACAACAUUAUAAAUAAUAGAGAAAUGACAAAAGACCCUUUGUUGACCUCUCUCGGAUUCGCAAGAAGAACAAGAAAGGAAGUGAUAUCAAGAGUAAAACACACUAAAACAGCAACAACACUUGAUGAACAAGAUGCAAUAACAACAACACACGGUUACAAGACAAGAACACAAACGGAUUACAACUUUAUGUUUAAUUCGCUUAUAUUGUAGCUCAAUUCGCUUAUAUUGUAGGAGCCGUAGAAUUGGUUGGGGCCGUACAAAUUUACAUACGCUCUUAAGCUGCUCGACCUGUUGGGAACAUAUAUUGUUAUUUUUCAGGGACUACCCUUGUGUUGCAUAUACCUUGUUUACUUCAGUAAAAACAAAAAGUGAUUGUAUGAACUAUCUACCUAGUUGAAUUAUGCACUUUGUAUCAAAAAAAUAUUUUCAUCAGUGUCAUCUUCAAGUAUGGAACUUUGAAGUUCUCUCAUUCUGACAAAAAUCCAUAUUUGUUUUGUCUCAUCUGUUUCUGCUACCGUUGUGCCUGAAAAUAUUUUGUAUUUUCGCCAAGCACAGAAAUCUGACAAGUCUUGAAAGACUGAACUCGCGUAUUAGGCAAAAUACAAGAUUUUCUCGUGUGGCUAGGGGUGACAAUUCAACCAGAUGAGAUGUGGUUUGUUUUGUUAAAAUCUUUUCAGCAGAGUGUAUCUUGUUGAUAGCUCAUGUUUGAGCUCUCAGUAGGCUAGGGUGAUUUCAUUUCACCUUACUAAUCCCGGAGAAGCUUCAAAUACAUGUCUAGAUUGUAUAAACAUACUUCUUAGGUGCUUAGCUACUCUUGCAUUUUGUUUUUUCAAAAUUGUUCUAAAAAUGAUUUUUCUUGUCCAUGAUUAUCUCUGGAUAUUCUAUUUCCUUCGUUUGGGCAGAUUUAUUUCUCCCUCUUUGCACUUUUGUAGCUUUGGUGUUCUGUCUUGUCAUUCCGCCACUUUCUUUGAUUUUCUUAAAGUGGUUCACAAUUGAAGUAUUGGGAUUCUUUCGACUAUCUUGUUGACAUUGUUUUGUUGCAUCCAUCGCCUCCAUGUUGGCAUUUGUCUUGUGGAGUAAGGGCAUUUUCUUGAACUUUCCUCGUGUUGCCUAUGUUCGCUAAUCUAUUUUCUGAUGUUGUUGCUGUUUCCUGUUUUAUCCUUCCUGAAAUAUCCUGGUUUCCUUCAUUUUCUGUUUCCAUAGCAUUCUUAUCUUUUCCCGUAGUCAUGGCCAUCAGGAUGGUGGCGCUAUGUUCAGGAUUGCUACAUGCAUUAACGACCUCUUUGUGAACUUGACCUUGAGUUCUCCUUCUGCAUUAUCUCUAGAGAGUCCACCCUUAUUGUUUUCCUGUAUUUCCCUAUCAAAUUUCAGUUCAGGGUGUAACUCUCUACAUUUCUCAUCACCAUAGUUUCAUAUUCCACGACUUGGGCAAUCACUGUCAUGUGGUCUUCUUUGUUUCUGAUUUCUAGUAAGAUUCACUUAGGGGUUUGGUUAAGUCUAUCUCUACCUUGAUUUUUCACGGCGUAGGUCUAAUUUUUGUGCUAGUGGGGUACCAGUUGGCUCCACAAUGCAACAUAGAGCAUCCCAAACGUAGUGAUCCUAAAUUGAGCCUCUAUUUUCAUUGUGUCACACCUUUUUUUUUUCUAACUCCAAAAAGAUUCAUGAUUUUAAUUGUUUUUAAAGGAUUUUUAUUAUUAAGUGACAAAAGAUAAAAAUUUGUUUCGAAAAGGAUUCAUUUUAUUCUAAACUCAAAGUCGCCAAUUGGCAUAAAUCGGGUGUGUCAAGUCACCCGUGGAUAUCCUUUUUCAAAACGGUUUUGACUCUGUAAAAUUGAUCUGAGAAUAGACAUUCCGGCUAAGGAAUUCUGUUGACCGAAGGGAAGGUGUUAGGCACCCCUCGAUCCAGUGGUUCGACCACGAUCGCUUGGUGGAGUAUAUCGGCUAAUUUUGACACUACUAAUGUACAAACCACAAAGACACAUGUAAAGCAAUCAAACAAACAAACCAAACCAAACGUAUAAAAGUAUAGCGUUCAGUCCAAUUAUACAGUCCCAAAAAUAAAAAAAAAUGCUAAAAUAAAUCCUAUCUAACCUAUACUAAUCCUAACUAUGCUCCCUUGCUUUACUCGAUGCCUCGGGCCUUCCUCACGAACAUCUUUCCGCCAACAUAGUACGUCGGGGCAUUCCCCGGUGAAGAAACACAAAUAUCUCGGGGCAUUCCCNNNNNNNNNNNNNNNNNNNNNNNNNNNNNNNNNNNNNNNNACUCAACACAAAUAUUUACACAUUCGAUGAUUAAAAUCCUACGAGUUGCCUACCCCCAAAACCUAGAACAAACCUAGAACUUACCUAUCAGUGCCCGACCUAAGACAUGAUACUAUUACACUUAACAUCAAUAUUUAUUUCAAAAUAAACCGACAACAAUAAAUCAAGCUAAUCCUUCUUCAUUUUAUCAAUUUUUCGAUCCCGACCCCAAACAACAACUUAAAUUCUCAAUCAACGAUUAACUAAUCUUUAGGCUAUCAAUUUAAUCUUCAUAAUUCGAAUUCAACAUCAACCAACAUUUAUGAUUCAAACAUCACAAAAUCAAACAAAGAAAACAAGAUCCACACAUUGUCAAUUCGCCACACAAAAUAUCAAAAUUUAAAAUUAUUCGAGAAAAGGGAUGAGAAAUGGACCUCAAUCGAAGCUUUUAUUAUGCCAAAUAAUGCGAUUAGAAAAUAGAAUCGGGUCCGAAAGCCUCAAGUUGAACCUCAAUCGCGAACUAACCAACUCCAAAACUUGGUAUCACCAAAAUCGAAACCCGGAACUGACCACAAUGACCCAAUCGAGACAAAUCGAACCUUUGAGGCGUGUCUUUCAAUUUUAAAAAUUCUUCAAAAUAGAGUAGCCCUUAAACCUUGAACAAAAUUCACACUCAUUAAAGAAUCGAUCAUGACUUCUAUUUUCGCCUUAACCGAUGGUGCAGAAAACACCAAAAUUCGACCCACGAACCUAGAUUUUUACCCGAAAUCUCGAAAUCGAAGCAAUGAGGGAGAAAGAAAGUAAAUUUGACAGCUCCCCAAGGAAUUCUGUGACUUUUAUGGUUUAUCCUAUGAAGAUCAAUGAGAAGGGAGUCAUCUAGUCAGUAAUGAAAUGGAAUUUUGGAGAUGGAGAUGUGGGUGACGUAUGACCCAAAAUGAAAGGGGGUCUGUGUUGUUAUUCUAGGAAGAAAAGAGAAGGGGGUGUGUGAAUGUCGAUGGUUGUGUGUGUAUGGUGUGUACAGAAAGAGUGACGAUGGAAGGAGUAGUGUUGGUGUUUGUCUAUGGUGAGAGAAUUAUAAGGGGUGAGUGUGAGAGUGUGUGUUCCUUUUUAAGGGAAAGAAAAAUGGAAGAUGAUCAUCCCCUCCCUGUGGGCCCCUCGCCUUAUUCUCCUUUUCUAGAAAACCAAAUUGGAUUCCCUUUUUUUUUUUUUUUUUUUUUUUUUUUCUGAAUGGGAAAGACCAAGCAAUAUUUCAAGUGGUCCUCUUUUUUCUUCCCUUUUUAUCAUGUAAAUGUGAGUAUAUGUAUUGAGAAAAAUGGAAUAAUUCGUGGCCCCACUCUUUUUGGAAUGUAGUCUAAUUGUGGAAGAAAGAAAUGGGAAAUCACGUGAAAGGGGAGUAGGUGGGUUUAGGGGUGAGGUAAGGUAGGGUGUAGGGUGAGGUAGUUUGUUAGGAUGAGGUGUAAAAAGGAUUAGGGUGGGAUAAAAUUUGUUAAGGUGUUUGUUAUUUUUGGUUCUUUUACGAGGAAUAAUUACAUGGUUGAGGGUGUACGGUAAGGUGAGCUGAAAAUGAAUAAAAUUGAACUUGAGAGGAACAAAAUUAGGUGUCUACACAUUGGUUUCAGGUUUGAAAGAGGAGGUCCAUUUGAUGAUUUUCAUAUUUUU